UUUAAGUGCAACCAUGAAUUUUCGUGCCUAACUUUAAUCGUUCGUCUUAUUUAAAUUUUUUUAUAAUUAGUAUUUUUAUUGUUAUGAGGUGAUAAAACAUGAAUAGUACUUUAUGCAUUUCUUGUUUUUAAUUUUUUUUCAAAUAAGAUGAAAUCAAAGUUUGACACGGAAAAUUAUGGUUGCAUUUAAA
Oryza meridionalis is the source of this 190-nucleotide non-coding RNA. The record is from Rfam. NCBI's taxonomy places the organism in Eukaryota, Viridiplantae, Streptophyta, Magnoliopsida, Poales, Poaceae.